GCGUGACCAUAGUUCAAUGGUAGAGCUUCUGUCUUGCAUGCAGAAGGUCCCAGGUUUAGACCUGGCAUCUGCA
Podarcis lilfordi (Lilford's wall lizard) is the source of this 73-nucleotide non-coding RNA. NCBI's taxonomy places the organism in Eukaryota, Metazoa, Chordata, Lepidosauria, Squamata, Lacertidae. The record is from the annotation of a GenBank genome assembly.